AUUCCCUCAGUCAGCGGCGAGCGAAGAGGGACCGAACCCGAUGCCGAAUCGGACCUUAACGGUCUUGAGUUGUGGCACAAGCGGUGUUUCGUGGUUGGUGCGGGAUCAGCAAAAUUCAAUUCGGCAAAGCAAACCCAGCUGAAAACAACCCUUCAUGUGAGUAUUGAGCCAUAGAAGGUGGUAGCCCAUUGAGCUGAGAACCCUAGCGCCUCAUUAAACACUUCAAGAGAGUAGCACUGUUUGGGAAUGCAGUGUCAAGCGGCAGGUAUUUGUCUGCCAAGGUUAAACACAGAGUAGGAAGACCGAUAUCGAACAAGUAGCGUGAGCGAAAGUUUGAAAAGCACUUUGGAGAGAGAGUGACAUAGAACCUGAAGUCGCGACAAUGACAAUGGAAGUACCUCCAUUUCAUUGGCCAAAACCCACCUGACAGCAUUCGAUUUCGGGCGCUACUUUGGUGGCGUUCCGUAACAAGUGCCGAAAACCGGGUGUGGUGAAAUGAGC
This 501-nucleotide ribosomal RNA is filed under the name Dictyuchus sp. 3 HM-2018. Its description in RNAcentral is "LSU rRNA". It matches the Rfam family "Eukaryotic large subunit ribosomal RNA", at positions 74 to 515 of the family's 3401-position model. The record is from RNAcentral. Lineage: Eukaryota; Oomycota; Saprolegniomycetes; Saprolegniales; Achlyaceae.